Molecule: non-coding RNA, 159 nt
Organism: Arachis ipaensis
Lineage: Eukaryota; Viridiplantae; Streptophyta; Magnoliopsida; Fabales; Fabaceae
Source: RefSeq, a predicted model, not a curated record
UGAAGCUGGGAGCCUUAUGACACAGGUUUGAAGACGCAAUUUGAAGCUGCGAGCGAUUAGUAGGUUUUCUUUAUGGUUUAAAUUGCUCUUAUAGAGUCCCCUCGCUGUUGUCCCUUGAAAUUUUAUUUCACAGAGGGGUAGGUUUGGCAUAUUGUAUUU